UAUUGCUUGUUUUCUGUGUUUUCAGGAGGGGAAAGAAGCACAGUGUGAUUUUACGCACUCAGCUGAGCGUCCGAGUUCACGCAUGUAUCGAGAAGCUGUAUAACUCCAAUGGCCGUGACCUGAGGAGGGCGCUGUUUUCCCUCAAGCAGAUAUUCCAGGACGAUAAGGACCUGGUUCAUGAGUUCGUUAUGGCUGAAGGUCUGACGUGUUUAAUUAAGGUCGGCGCUGAAGCGGAUCAGAACUACCAGAACUACAUCCUCAGAGGUUCGUUUGCUUCGUUUGCAUCCUUAGA
This is a long non-coding RNA of Cyprinus carpio (common carp), 292 nucleotides long. RefSeq lists it as uncharacterized. The record is from RefSeq and is a predicted model, not a curated record. Lineage: Eukaryota; Metazoa; Chordata; Actinopteri; Cypriniformes; Cyprinidae. The transcript is spliced from 3 exons.